GAGUUUGAUCAUGGCUCAGGAGGAACGCUGGCGGCGUGCCUAACACAUGCAAGUCGAGCGAGAAAUAGUCAGACGGAGAUUUCGGUUGAAGGAUGGUUAUGGAAAGCGGCGGACGGGUGAGUAACGCGUAGGCAACCUGCCUCAUGCAGAGGGAUAGCCUCGGGAAACCGGGAUUAAGACCUCAUAAGGCCAAGGGGACACAUGUUUUCGUGGUCAAAGAUUUAUCGGCAUGAGAUGGGCCUGCGUCUGAUUAGCUGGUUGGUGAGGUAACGGCUCACCAAGGCGACGAUCAGUAGCCGACCUGAGAGGGUAAACGGCCACAUUGGAACUGAGACACGGUCCAAACUCCUACGGGAGGCAGCAGUGGGGGAUAUUGCACAAUGGGCGAAAGCCUGAUGCAGCAACGCCGCGUGAGCGAAGAAGGCCUUUGGGUCGUAAAGCUCUGUCGAUAGGGAAGAAAGAGAUGACG
This 469-nucleotide ribosomal RNA is filed under the name Peptostreptococcaceae bacterium canine oral taxon 125. Its description in RNAcentral is "bacterial SSU rRNA". It matches the Rfam family "Bacterial small subunit ribosomal RNA", at positions 9 to 459 of the family's 1533-position model. The record is from RNAcentral. Lineage: Bacteria; Bacillati; Bacillota; Clostridia; Peptostreptococcales; Peptostreptococcaceae.